GACAGAGGGGGCAAGCGUUGCUCGGAAUCACUGGGCGUAAAGGGCGCGUAGGCGGGCUGGCAAGUCGGUCGUGAAAUCCUUCGGCUCAACCGAAGAACGUCGGCCGAUACUGCCGUUCUUGAGGGAUGCAGAGGAGAUUGGAAUUCCCGGUGUAGCGGUGAAAUGUGUAGAGAUCGGGAGGAACACCGGUGGCGAAGGCGGGUCUCUGGGCAUCACCUGACGCUGAGGCGCGAAAGCGUGGGGAGCAAACGGG
RNAcentral lists this ribosomal RNA (253 nucleotides) under uncultured bacterium. RNAcentral describes it as "partial 16S ribosomal RNA". It matches the Rfam family "Bacterial small subunit ribosomal RNA", at positions 524 to 776 of the family's 1533-position model. The record is from RNAcentral.